RNAcentral lists this ribosomal RNA (195 nucleotides) under uncultured bacterium. RNAcentral's name for it is "partial 16S ribosomal RNA". It matches the Rfam family "Bacterial small subunit ribosomal RNA", at positions 340 to 524 of the family's 1533-position model. The record is from RNAcentral.
UACGGGAGGCGACAGUAGGGAAUCUUCCGCAAUGGACGGAAGUCUGACGGAGCAACGCCGCGUGAGUGAAGCAGGCCUUCGGAUCGUAAAGCUCUGUUGCCAGGGUAAUCAGCGGUACAGGAGUCACUGUCUGUACUGUGCCGGUACCUGAGUCAGCAAGCCCCGGCCUAACUACGUGCCAGCAGCCGCGGUAAA